GAUGAACGCUGGCGGCGUGCCUAAUACAUGCAAGUCGAGCGAACGGACGAGAAGCUUGCUUUUCUGAUGUUAGCGGCGGACGGGUGAGUAACACGUGGAUAACCUACCUAUAAGAUUGGGAUAACUUCGGGAAACCGGAGCUAAUACCGGAUAAUAUUUUGAACCGCAUGGUUCAAAAGUGAAAGACGGUCUUGCUGUCACUUAUAGAUGGAUCCGCGCUGCAUUAGCUAGUUGGUAAGGUAACGGCUUACCAAGGCAACGAUGCAUAGCCGACCUGAGAGGGUGAUCGGCCACACUGGAACUGAGACACGGUCCAUACUCCUACGGGAGGCAGCAGUAGGGAAUCUUCCGCAAUGGGCGAAAGCCUGACGGAGCAACGCCGCGUGAGUGAUGAAGGUCUUCGGAUCGUAAAACUCUGUUAUUAGGGAAGAACAUAUGUGUAAGUAACUGUGCACAUCUUGACGGUACCUAAUCAGAAAGCCACGGCUAACUACGUG
This 497-nucleotide ribosomal RNA is filed under the name uncultured bacterium. Its description in RNAcentral is "partial 16S ribosomal RNA". It matches the Rfam family "Bacterial small subunit ribosomal RNA", at positions 28 to 507 of the family's 1533-position model. The record is from RNAcentral.